CCGGCCGGGAUCGGCGCCGGGAGCGGGCGGGGGGUCGCGCCCGGGAGGGGAGGGGCCGCGCCGGGCACCUGCAGCCCCGGCCCGGGGCAUCCGCCUCUGGACCCCGCACACUCCCGGCGCCGCUUUGGCCACUGCGCCUGGUCGGCUGGUUCAGCCGCAGUCCCUCCGACGUCCACCUGGUGCCCCCGGUGUGUGCAGGGCCCUGAAGCCCAAGGCGCAUCCCCACUCUGGUCCCUUCGGUUGGAAGGAGAGUAACGAAGAGAAUGCUAUAGGCUCAGGACGACACAGAGUGACGAUGGCACGACAGCUCCCUUCUGACCUGCCUGCCCCGCCACAGAAGGAGGAGAAGAUCUCCCUCUGCCCGAAAGUCACUUCCUGGCACAACCCCUCUCUCUGGCCAACAGGGCAAGGGGACUGGAGCUCGCUUCUUUGUGAAUAACAAAGAGAGCUGGAUAAAUCUCACCCUCCGUCCUUCCUGUUACAUUGCUGAAUUCCUUAAAUAUCAGGUUUUUUUCCUAUUUCCCGAAUUGGACAAUGAGCCCAGUAAAAGGCCUAAUAAAAGAUUUAGGGGAGCUAAGGAAAUGGAGCCAAAAGUGUUUUGGGGGACACAGAUUAGAGGAGUUCAGACUCGAAAGUAAGUUUGAGAACUUGACUGAUGGCUCUGGAGUAUGACUUGAGCAGUAUAGCCCGCAAGGAAUAGGAGGGCAUAGUAACAGGCCGGGGAGCCUCCAUGGAGGCCCUCUAGCAAAAGGAGACCAUGUAGGGUGUGUCCCAGGAACUCGGGGAGGCUGCCACCAGCUCCAAGAUUCUGCUCCCCAAUUCACAACCCCAAGAUAGUGUGUGGUAAUUAGGCAGACAGUGCAUUUAAAUAUGCAUUGUGUACCUUUUGUAUGUGAGACACUGUGGUAGGUAAUUUGUGUGGUGUGUGUGGGGGGGGGGAGGAGAGGGGUUACUUGAAAAUGGUCCUUGCCCUCAAUAAAGCCUAGAGUCUAGUAAAACUGUCAUAAAAAUAGGAGCUCGGAGAGGCCACUGUAUCGCCUCAGGAAGUGGUUGUUGAAAACAGUCUCCGGAGCACCAGCAGAGCUAGUUGCUAAGGCAGAUUUGGGAAGUUGGUUCCUGGCCAGAUGGCACAGAGUGAGGCAGAGAUGCCAAGACCUAUGGGUGAAGAAGAGAGCCUGCCCAAGGAAAGACCAGGAAACCACGUCCAGCGAUGCUCACUUCCAAGGCCACAGUGUUUUAUCCCACAUGUGGUAAACAGAGCUGCAGUCCCCACCGUUAUUUGGACACAGUUUUCAGGUUUAGGAAAAACACCUUUGAACCAAGAUCAGAAGACUGAAAAUGUCAGCACCAUAGAAAAGUUUUACGAUACAAAUAGGAAAUAAAGGCACACCUUUGAGGCACACCCUUUAGUCCGCUACAAGUUUGGGGCACCUCCUAGCUGAGGUAUGUGUGGGAAAAAAAGUUAUGAAUCAUAAUCACUUUAUAACACUUCUUAUAAUCAUCACUCACCUUCAAUGCUUGUGUAUGGUCCCACACUGUUGCAACACUAACACAUCUUCUUAUACAAAAUUAGACCCUAUUCAAAGGAAAACUACCCAGCAGAAAUUAACUAGGGACUGGUUAUGUCUGCAUACCUGGCAUACAGAGUAGCCAAAUCAUCUUUUGUAUUGAGAUACUUUUUCAGAUGUCCUACGAUCUGCUGCCAUUUUUAAAAAUUCUGUUAAAUUGUCCAAGUAGUCCUUGACUAUAUUAUCACUUACAUAAAAUUACCUUACAUUUGGAAUUUACAAUU
Long non-coding RNA from Canis lupus familiaris (dog), 1792 nucleotides. RefSeq lists it as uncharacterized. NCBI's taxonomy places the organism in Eukaryota, Metazoa, Chordata, Mammalia, Carnivora, Canidae. The record is from RefSeq and is a predicted model, not a curated record. The transcript is spliced from 2 exons.